UGGGAUGUAGCUCCAGGGUAGAGUGCUUGCCUGGCAUGCUGGAGGCCUUGGGUUCAGUCCCUAGCACCUCAA
Non-coding RNA from Ictidomys tridecemlineatus (thirteen-lined ground squirrel), 72 nucleotides. The record is from Rfam. Lineage: Eukaryota; Metazoa; Chordata; Mammalia; Rodentia; Sciuridae.